Long non-coding RNA from Paramisgurnus dabryanus, 457 nucleotides. RefSeq lists it as uncharacterized. The record is from RefSeq and is a predicted model, not a curated record. Lineage: Eukaryota; Metazoa; Chordata; Actinopteri; Cypriniformes; Cobitidae.
ACGACAGCGGGACGACUCUGAAAUUUGUCUCUCUCCUUCCAAUUCUUCACUCCUACUCUCGGACAGGGUCCCGCGGCACAAUAACUCAUCUUUGAGGCCGAACAAUGGCUUUCUUCUCCAUCUUGUGCUCCUCCUCUGCAUCUCUUCAUCUCUCUCUCCCUGCAUCUCUUGUUUUGGAGCUCCCAGUGACAUCCCUGCCAUGUUUCUCUCCAGAUGUCGGUCUUUCCCUUUGCUCGUUCUACAGCUGUCAGUCAAGACCGUGUGCUUCUCAUUUGGGAUUCAGCUGAUGGUGCAUUUUGAUUGGUCCUGCUGUCAAUGUCGAACCCAAUGUCAACAGUGCGGUCAUGCUCUGUGAUUUCCAUCCGCAUGCAACAAACAUCCUUUGCCUAAUGUGCUCCCAUCAGUACCUAAACCAAGUGAAGAAGGAGAGAAGGAUUUGUAACCCUAGAAACAAAUG